UUAAAUUGAAGAGUUUGAUCAUGGCUCAGAUUGAACGCUGGCGGCAGGCCUAACACAUGCAAGUCGAACGGUAACAGGAAGCAGCUUGCUGCUUUGCUGACGAGUGGCGGACGGGUGAGUAAUGUCUGGGAAACUGCCUGAUGGAGGGGGAUAACUACUGGAAACGGUAGCUAAUACCGCAUAACGUCGCAAGACCAAAGAGGGGGACCUUCGGGCCUCUUGCCAUCGGAUGUGCCCAGAUGGGAUUAGCUUGUUGGUGGGGUAACGGCUCACCAAGGCGACGAUCCCUAGCUGGUCUGAGAGGAUGACCAGCCACACUGGAACUGAGACACGGUCCAGACUCCUACGGGAGGCAGCAGUGGGGAAUAUUGCACAAUGGGCGCAAGCCUGAUGCAGCCAUGCCGCGUGUAUGAAGAAGGCCUUCGGGUUGUAAAGUACUUUCAGCGGGGAGGAAGGGAGUAAAGUUAAUACCUUUACUCAUUGACGUUACCCGCAGAAGAAGCACCGGCUAACUCCGUGCCAGCAGCCGCGGUAAUACGGAGGGUGCAAGCGUUAAUCGGAAUUACUGGGCGUAAAGCGCACGCAGGCGGUUUGUUAAGUCAGAUGUGAAAUCCCCGGGCUCAACCUGGGAACUGCAUCUGAUACUGGCAAGCUUGAGUCUCGUAGAGGGGGGUAGAAUUCCAGGUGUAGCGGUGAAAUGCGUAGAGAUCUGGAGGAAUACCGGUGGCGAAGGCGGCCCCCUGGACGAAGACUGACGCUCAGGUGCGAAAGCGUGGGGAGCAAACAGGAUUAGAUACCCUGGUAGUCCACGCCGUAAACGAUGUCGACUUGGAGGUUGUGCCCUUGAGGCGUGGCUUCCGGAGCUAACGCGUUAAGUCGACCGCCUGGGGAGUACGGCCGCAAGGUUAAAACUCAAAUGAAUUGACGGGGGCCCGCACAAGCGGUGGAGCAUGUGGUUUAAUUCGAUGCAACGCGAAGAACCUUACCUGGUCUUGACAUCCACAGAACUUUCCAGAGAUGGAUUGGUGCCUUCGGGAACUGUGAGACAGGUGCUGCAUGGCUGUCGUCAGCUCGUGUUGUGAAAUGUUGGGUUAAGUCCCGCAACGAGCGCAACCCUUAUCCUUUGUUGCCAGCGGUCCGGCCGGGAACUCAAAGGAGACUGCCAGUGAUAAACUGGAGGAAGGUGGGGAUGACGUCAAGUCAUCAUGGCCCUUACGACCAGGGCUACACACGUGCUACAAUGGCGCAUACAAAGAGAAGCGACCUCGCGAGAGCAAGCGGACCUCAUAAAGUGCGUCGUAGUCCGGAUUGGAGUCUGCAACUCGACUCCAUGAAGUCGGAAUCGCUAGUAAUCGUGGAUCAGAAUGCCACGGUGAAUACGUUCCCGGGCCUUGUACACACCGCCCGUCACACCAUGGGAGUGGGUUGCAAAAGAAGUAGGUAGCUUAACCUUCGGGAGGGCGCUUACCACUUUGUGAUUCAUGACUGGGGUGAAGUCGUAACAAGGUAACCGUAGGGGAACCUGCGGUUGGAUCACCUCCUUACCUUAAAGAAGC
RNAcentral lists this ribosomal RNA (1556 nucleotides) under Escherichia coli. RNAcentral's name for it is "bacterial SSU rRNA". It matches the Rfam family "Bacterial small subunit ribosomal RNA". Lineage: Bacteria; Pseudomonadati; Pseudomonadota; Gammaproteobacteria; Enterobacterales; Enterobacteriaceae. The record is from RNAcentral.